This 2368-nucleotide long non-coding RNA is filed under the name Homo sapiens (human). Its description in RNAcentral is "non-protein coding lnc-ZNF717-4:6". The record is from RNAcentral. Lineage: Eukaryota; Metazoa; Chordata; Mammalia; Primates; Hominidae.
UCCGUGCUGAAACCCCCGGCGCUCCUGCCACAGCUUAGAAGCAAAGUUAAGAGACUCAUCAGAUUCUGAGCUGCUGCGGGAUAUUUUGCAGAAGACGUGCUGUAUUGCCCAGAAGCCAUCGUGUCGCUGGUCGGGAUCCUGCGGAGGCUGGCUGCCUGCUGGGAGCACCAGCAGUCUCCUGAGGUCUACGUGGCCUUUACCGUCCACAACCCAGAGACGUGCCAGCUGUUCACCACCGAGCUAGGCCGGGCUGGGAUCAUAUGGGAAGCGGAAGCUCAUCAUGACCAGAAACUGUUUCCCUAUGGAGAGCACUUGGAGAUGGCAAUGCUGAACCUCACACUGUAGGACUCACACACGACUCCAACGGGAUUGUGAGAAUCAAGUCAAUCUCAUGGGAAGAAUUUUUAUAUGGGAAAGCGGAUAAAACUUUCAUUGUACUGGAAUGUUUGGAGAAUGUUAAAUUCCAAAUCAGAAACCACAAACUGCCCUCUAAUAAGACAUCGGCUAUCUAAGCGUGUGGGUGCCCCCUUUCUGCCAGCAGUUCUGGUUCUUACGAAAAUCACCAUAUAUCAGACAUGAAAAUUCUGGCUUUGUGCAGAUAAAAAAGUGUGUAUCAAGUAUGACGUUCCCCCAAUGUGGACACACUUGGUUCCUCAGAAAGCCAAGCCCACUGCAGCUGCCACAUCCCUGGACACACUCGGUUCCUCACAAAGCCAAGCCCGCUGCAGCUGUCACAUCCCUGGACACACUCGGUUCCUCACAAAGCCAAGCCCACUGCAGCUGCCACAUCCCUGAGCCUAUGGUGCAGCAGGUGCUUUUUUCAAGACAGGGAUCAAAGUGUUAGGAACACGGCAGAAAGGUGACACCUGGAGACCAAAUGCAGGAUGAGGAGUACUGCAGAGGUCACAGGGAAGUCAGAGAACAGUAAUACGCUAACAGGGGCACGGGGCAUGAAGAACAAAAGACAGGAAGCGUUUCAGAGACUCCAAAGAAGAAAUCAGGGCCAACCACAGCUUCCCGGGUCAUUCACCAGGUGGCACCACUGCCGUCAUUUCAGCUUCUGGCCACUGGGAGGCGCUGCUCGAAAGGGUUUGCCCUGACACUCCAAGAAGCUGCGGGAAGGACAGCAGGGGCCCUGGGGUUUUAGCCUCUGGCCCAGGAGUUAUGUGUCCAUAACCAAAGGGAGCACAGUCUGCACCCAGCUCUCAUCCCAUCAGAGCUGCUGCGACUCCUGCAGGUUCUUCCGGAACUGGUUUAGCUUGCCUGCAGGAUCAGGAAAGUUUGAGAAAAGCAUCUGCAAAAUACUAAAGAGCAGAGCUUACCUCAUUGCCUGUCCCCACCCCAUCCCAGGUCACCACCUGGCUGACCCCAGGUCCCCGACCCAACAACAACCCCUCCCAAGUCCCUAACUCCCUCACUUGGACUUGAGACCCUUCACACCCCAGCAGCGCUCCGCCUCCCACUUGACAUCAUGCUUUCUGGAAACUUCCCCGUAUGUCCCACUUUCCCACACUUGGUGCCCUGGAGCACCUUCCGGCCUCUACAUGCUGUACGUUCCCCUGUGAGCACCCUCCUCUCGGCCUCUGGCCAACACAGUCCCACCCAUCUGUGGGUAACAAGGGGGAGUGGGUGUUCUUUUCAGCCUUGCUAAACUCUCUGAAUCAAGGAUCACAAACUACAGCCUGCAGGCCAAAUCCAGCCCACAGCCUGUGUUUGUAAAUAAAGCUUUAUUGGAAGAAAGCCACACCCCUUAAUCUACAGAUGAUCUGUGGCUACUUUCACACCACAACAGAGUACCAUGGUUCUGACAGAGACUGGGGGACCCAGUCUAAAUGACUUCUGACCUGGACCUUUACUGAAAAUCCUCCCAAUCAUUCUGUUGACAAGAAUGAUGUAUUACUUUUUGCAAUAAGAAACAAGUAACCUUUGCAGAAUUCCACCCAUCUUUCAAGGCUGGUCCCAGAAGUUCCCUUAGCCCAUGCACCUACCUGAUCCUGAUCACUUCCUAAACUGCAGCCUGGCCCACCUGGAUCCAGCAUCAUUUGUGGCGUGUCAGCUCCAUAAAUCCAGAGGGCAGGUGGCGUUGUGUCCUAACUUUCCCGAGCCUACUGUACUGAAACAGGACAGCAGAGUAGGCCAGCCUCUGUGACUUCUGCUCCCUCCCUAGCUUUUCCACCAGACCCCCCAUGGUCCCACCCUGGCUGUGGGAAGCAGGGAUCAGGGAGUGUGGCUCGGUGCCAGUCUCCAGAACCCUGCCCACCCUGGCGUGGUGGCAGACAUGGCUACCUGCAGCUGAGCUGCCAGUUCCUCUGAGUCCUCAAAGACCAGGCCAUUUUCUUCAUGUUUCACCAGCUCAUGUAAACUGCAG